RNAcentral lists this transfer RNA (75 nucleotides) under Lacrimispora indolis. RNAcentral's name for it is "tRNA-Gly". It matches the Rfam family "tRNA". From Rfam's summary of the family: Transfer RNA (tRNA) molecules are approximately 80 nucleotides in length. Lineage: Bacteria; Bacillati; Bacillota; Clostridia; Lachnospirales; Lachnospiraceae. The record is from RNAcentral.
GCGGAAGUGGCUCAGUGGUAGAGCACUGGCUUCCCAAGCUGGGGACCGCGGGUUCGAAUCCCGUCUUCCGCUCCA